Molecule: non-coding RNA, 3247 nt
Organism: Cricetulus griseus (Chinese hamster)
Lineage: Eukaryota; Metazoa; Chordata; Mammalia; Rodentia; Cricetidae
Source: RefSeq, a predicted model, not a curated record
GGAAAAGGAAAGAGUCACCAUGUGAUCCCAGGAAGAGAGGACAGCGUCCUCGGGUAUUUUUCCUUAACUUCCAUCCCCUGGAUUGCCGAUGAGUUGUCUGACUCCCAACAUUGUGUUGAGAUGUGGUCGUCUACCUGCUGGGCUGAAUGUAGCUCAUCCCUGUUUGGAAAUCUGCACGGAUACCUCUGACCAAUGCACUCCUGUCUCCUGAAAAAGUUCACCUGAGGUCUCUGGAGGAAGGAAGAGAAAAAAGAAAUGACAUUGAAGCACAAAAUCAGUGUACUCAGCUGAGCCAUCUCUGGGGUCACUUAGGCUUCGUUAUUGCUGUGUAAAGAAAAUUGCAGCUGAUGCUCCACUCUGCUGGUUUAGUUGUUAGAGUGCAAAGCACAAAGCAUGCCCUGAAACCGUCCGUAAAUUAACAGCAAGAAAUCAAGAGCGCAAAGACUCCAAGUGCAUCGCAGGGGGAUUAGCUUAAUGCCAACAAGAUGGACGUCUCUAGAUGGAGCAUAUUUUAAAACCUUUCCUUUUAUUUUGUAAUGAAAAAACAUAAUUCAAUUUGUUGUCUUCUUGGCAUAUAUAAAAUAUUAGGUGAAAGUACAAACAUGUCAUGUAAGUAUCUCAGAAUUUAUGAAUAUGGUAAAUACAAUGGUUUUGCAGCUUAGUCCUCCCCAAAUCAUCCCCUUCUCCUGAGUCAGUUGCCUCAGGAGCAUGUGAGCCCACAUGUCUAAGUUCCACUUACUGCCUAGCUUGGGCAUCUCAAUCAGCUCCAGCUGUGGAAUGAUGACAUUUUUGAGUGGGAAGGGCCUUGAUCUUAACUUUGUUCCAUCCCUAUGGUUAAGUGCACACUUAGAGUAGCAGGGGCCAUUUUGGUUAAAAGCCCACCAGACACUUCACUCAUUGUUUUCACAUAGUAUUUCUUACACUAACUCCAAAAGAUGCUUUUUAAAAGGAAGGCAUUGGAUACAUUAAUGCUUUCUCAGGAAACAGGGGAUAGAGGCUUGAUGCUUCGAAUUCUUCUUUCAGGUCUGGGUACCCCUCACCCAUCCCCUGUCCUAGCCUAGUCUUUGCUCCAAUCCUUUUCUCACAUACCCCACCUGGAUGGGAACGCACUGUGCCUUUCUUUAGAUAAUUGUAAGCUCUUGUUCCCUAUUUUAAGCUGCUGACUAUCUCACCCCACACCUGUACAAUGAACAAGCAAUAAUUCACAAGAGAUGAGACUAAGAUGACAGGACAGCCAACUAGAAAAAGAAUUUAAGUGAGCGUUUAAUGGGAAAAGAGCUAUACAUGGAACAUAAACACAGGAAGUCAAGGUUGGCGUCGGUAUUUACCAGGAAAAUGGCACUAACUCACGUGGAGCCACACAAUGGCCAGUUGAUAGACUCAGAAACUGACACAGCCACAUAGCAGCUUGCUGGGGGUUUUAACAGACAGUUGUAAACACUGCUGCAAAUAGUAAAAAAAUGACAGAGAAAUUCUCUCAGCAGCCUCUUACAAAGUUGGAAAUACAAAUGGAUCUGACUUAUGAGUGUCUAAAAAUAACUCCAGAUCAUUGGAAGCUGGACUUUGUGUCUUCAUGUGUGUCUCUCUUCUGGCUGGGGCUUCACCAUUGGCAAUUCUGGGCAGCCUAAAGAACUGCAGCUCUGGUCAGCUGUAUGGUCUCCAGGGUAAAAGGUCAAUCGGUCCUGCGCUGUGUUGAGCGAAUGCUUUGAACACUGGUCUUCAGUGAACCCCUCAAGGUGUUUGCCAUUUCAUCAUAAAAAGGUUCUGUGUGAAGUGGUUCUGAAUGCAUAUGUUCUGAGUCUGUAGAAGGUGGGCUGGGGGAAACUAAAAGGCAGUCCAGCAGUUUAUGGUUCUAGAUCUGUAUGCAUUAGAAACUAAAACAGCACCUUAAGAAGCUGUUCGAAAAUGUGUCCAAACUGGAGCCUAGGAAACUCCAUCUACAGUUGGAUGAGCGUUUUGCCAUGUGCGCACACCACAUGGUAAUACUCCAGCAAAGCACACAUGUGUUCAUGCGAGAACAGGUCAGAUAAAUGUCUCAGUUACAGUGACAAAGCAGUCCCCACAGUGUAGAAAAAUGAGACAGGACACUGCUGGAGAGUCUGGAUUAUGUCUGUGGCAAUGACAAUCUGGUCAUGAUUCUUGGGAACCAAGAGUGUAGAUUAGAGAGGGAUGGGGAAGGGACAGGAGACAUUUUCAAAAUCUAUUUACUGUUGAGGGGUUGGAGAUCCAACCUAGAGCUUCACAUAGGCUAUGCUACACUCCUAACCCUGAAAUAUUUAUUUCUGAGGCAAUGAAAUUUUACUCUGUCUUGACAGAGGUCCUUAUAUAUCAACUUGUGUUUUCAGAAUUCAUCAGAAUCUGUGGUUUUAAGAGAAUUGCAGUAUUGUGUGCACAUCCUCCCUAACAGUGUUGAUUACCAAUAGGAGAGAAAAAUAGGUGACACUAGCCAGUGGUACUGUGCAGAGCCAGGGAAAGGGCACUUGUGAUGUAGGAACCUCAGCACCUGGGGCAGCUGCUAUUCUUUCUCUGUCUGUUGAGAUGUUAGGCCCAGGCAACUAGAGGAAGGUUAUACAACUGUCUGGGGCAGUCCUGACAUGGUCACGAGAGGAUUUACUGUGUCUAAUUCCUCACAAAUGUAGGUAUAUGGACUGAACCUAGGCACUGCCCUCUGGGCAGCUGACCUUCCCCUACUUUUAGUGACAAAACCUGCUGGCAAUAAGAGCCACUUAAAAUGAUUGAGUACAAAUGGGGCCACACAAAACUCUUUAGUGUUCAAAUUCGAGGAGAUCAGUUUUGAAAUAAAUUCUUUCAGACAUUGUUACUGGCAGUGUUAAAACUUCACAUAAAUUAAGGAUAAUCUUCUAGAAUUCAUUACAUACCCAUGGAAUCACCAUUCUAACCAUGUUUUUAGGCAUGAACCCUCUAAUUUAAUAUGAAAUUUUGUUAGUGGAGUAUUUUAAAGCCUAUUAAGCCACUCAACAUUUGCCCUGAUAUAAUUCUUCUGUUUCCAAGUUUAAAAUGUCUGAUCCUUUCUCCCUCUGUCUGUGCCUUUAUUCCCUUUGUUUUAAACUAGAAGACAUUAUUUUUCCUAAAUGGUAUUUUUAUUAUAUUUACUGUGAAAAUAAUGAAACAGCACAGCAUAAGCAAAUCACCCCCUUAGCUGCACAUUUUCACGCGUCAGAAAAUGGCCUUGCCUUCAAAUUUUUAUUUUAUGUUUUCACAAAUUAAACAUUGGAUGUAAAAGCAA